GGACAUUCCUUUCUGGGAUUAUGCAAGCUGCAAAGCUAUCUGCUAAAUUGACUCGACAAGGUUUUUCUUGGCGCCAUGCAUAUAAUCUAACCAUGGAAACUCCCAGCCGAUUUCUUGUUUCAACUUCGGCUACGCAUCUAAGCGUCAACUCCAUCAGAAGGCUUGGCAUACAACGAGAAGUUGAUAAUUGCAGUCAACAAGAUGGAAGAGAUGCAGUCCUUUCGAGAGAAAAUAAGAGGGGAUUGUCCCAGUAUUUAUGCCGUAUUCCACAAUUUGUGAAAA
RNAcentral lists this unclassified non-coding RNA (282 nucleotides) under Hevea brasiliensis (rubber tree). Lineage: Eukaryota; Viridiplantae; Streptophyta; Magnoliopsida; Malpighiales; Euphorbiaceae. The record is from RNAcentral.